Molecule: ribosomal RNA, 253 nt
Filed under: uncultured bacterium
Lineage: Bacteria
Description: partial 16S ribosomal RNA
Rfam family: Bacterial small subunit ribosomal RNA
Source: RNAcentral
UACGAAGGAUUCGAGCGUUAUCCGGAUUUAUUGGGUUUAAAGGGUGCGUAGGUGGACUAAUAAGUCAGUGGUGAAAGCCCGCAGCUUAACUGCGGAACUGCCAUUGAUACUGUUAGUCUUGAGUACAGUUGAGGUGGGCGGAAUGUGUCAUGUAGCGGUGAAAUGCUUAGAUAUGACACAGAACACCGAUUGCGAAGGCAGCUCACUAAGCUGUAACUGACACUGAGGCACGAAAGCGUGGGAAGCAAACAGG